This is a long non-coding RNA of Micropterus dolomieu (smallmouth bass), 178 nucleotides long. RefSeq lists it as uncharacterized. Lineage: Eukaryota; Metazoa; Chordata; Actinopteri; Centrarchiformes; Centrarchidae. The transcript is spliced from 3 exons. The record is from RefSeq and is a predicted model, not a curated record.
UGUGGAUGCAUCAGUGCCAUUCCUCCAGAUGGGGUUUAUUGCCAGUCUGUUGAUCAAUACAACUUUACAGCUUGUCCUGUGACAACACCCUCUCCUUCACCAACAAGUCCACCCAUUGUUUAUGAAUACCUCAUUUCUGUUGAGUUGAACAUCUCAGAUGUGACAGAAGUAAAUCAAC